UCCGGUGAUAAUGGCGGGGAGGAUCCACCUGUACCCAUCUCGAACACAGAAGUUAAGCUCCCCAGCGCCGAAGAUACUUGGCGGGAGGCUGCCUGGGAAAAUAGGACAUUGCCGGUU
This 117-nucleotide ribosomal RNA is filed under the name Bacillota bacterium. Lineage: Bacteria; Bacillati; Bacillota. The record is from RNAcentral. RNAcentral also lists the same sequence under 2 other names.